GCCUGGGUGGCUCAGUCGGUUGAGUGCCCGACUUCGACUCAGGUCAUGAUCUCACAGUUUGUGAGUUCGAGCCUCGCCUCGGGCU
This is a transfer RNA of Felis catus (domestic cat), 85 nucleotides long. It matches the Rfam family "tRNA". Rfam says of the family: Transfer RNA (tRNA) molecules are approximately 80 nucleotides in length. Their secondary structure includes four short double-helical elements and three loops (D, anti-codon, and T loops). Lineage: Eukaryota; Metazoa; Chordata; Mammalia; Carnivora; Felidae. The record is from Rfam.